RNAcentral lists this ribosomal RNA (474 nucleotides) under uncultured bacterium. Its description in RNAcentral is "bacterial SSU rRNA". It matches the Rfam family "Bacterial small subunit ribosomal RNA", at positions 30 to 534 of the family's 1533-position model. The record is from RNAcentral.
AUUGAACGCUGGCGGCAGGCCUAACACAUGCAAGUCGAGCGGGGUUUUCGGACCUAGCGGCGGACGGGUGAGUAAUGCGUAGGAAGCUACCCGAUAGAGGGGGAUACCAGUUGGAAACGACUGUUAAUACCGCAUAAUGUCUACGGACCAAAGUGUGGGACCUUCGGGCCACAUGCUAUCGGAUGCGCCUACGUGGGAUUAGCUAGUUGGUGAGGUAAUGGCUCACCAAGGCGACGAUCUCUAGCUGGUUUGAGAGGAUGAUCAGCCACACUGGAACUGAGACACGGUCCAGACUCCUACGGGAGGCAGCAGUGGGGAAUAUUGGACAAUGGGCGCAAGCCUGAUCCAGCCAUGCCGCGUGAGUGAUGAAGGCCCUAGGGUUGUAAAGCUCUUUCACCGGUGAAGAUAAUGACGGUAACCGGAGAAGAAGACCCCGGCUAACUUCGUGCCAGCAGCCGCGGUAAUGUGACUACU